This 433-nucleotide ribosomal RNA is filed under the name uncultured bacterium. Its description in RNAcentral is "partial 16S ribosomal RNA". It matches the Rfam family "Bacterial small subunit ribosomal RNA", at positions 29 to 507 of the family's 1533-position model. The record is from RNAcentral.
AACGAACGCUGGCGGCAUGCCUAACACAUGCAAGUCGAACGAGACCUUCGGGCCUAGUGGCGCACGGGUGCGUAACGCGUGGGAACCUGCCUUUAGGUUCGGAAUAACCCAGAGAAAUUUGAGCUAAUACCGGAUGAUGUCUUCGGACCAAAGAUUUAUCGCCUUUAGAUGGGCCCGCGUUGGACUAGCUAGUUGGUGGGGUAAAGGCCUACCAAGGCGACGAUCCAUAGCUGGUCGGAGAGGAUGAUCAGCCACACUGGGACUGAGACACGGCCCAGACUCCUACGGGAGGCAGCAGUGGGGAAUAUUGGACAAUGGGCGAAAGCCUGAUCCAGCAAUGCCGCGUGAGUGAUGAAGGCCUUAGGGUUGUAAAGCUCUUUUACCCGAGAUGAUAAUGACAGUAUCGGGAGAAUAAGCUCCGGCUAACUCCGUG